GAUGAACGCUGGCGGCGUGCCUAAUACAUGCAAGUCGAGCGAACGGACGAGAAGCUUGCUUCUCUGAUGUUAGCGGCGGACGGGUGAGUAACACGUGGAUAACCUACCUAUAAGACUGGGAUAACUUCGGGAAACCGUAGCUAAUACCGGAUAAUAUUUUGAACCGCAUGGUUCAAAAGUGAAAGACGGUCUUGCUGUCACUUAUAGAUGGAUCCGCGCUGCAUUAGCUAGUUGGUAAGGUAACGGCUUACCAAGGCAACGAUGCAUAGCCGACCUGAGAGGGUGAUCGGCCACACUGGAACUGAGACACGGUCCAGACUCCUACGGGAGGCAGCAGUAGGGAAUCUUCCGCAAAGGGCGAAAGCCUGACGGAGCAACGCCGCGUGAGUGAUGAAGGUCUUCGGAUCGUAAAACUCUGUUAUUAGGGAAGAACAAAUGUGUAAGUAACUGUGCACAUCUUGACGGUACCUAAUCAGAAAGCCACGGCUAACUACGUG
RNAcentral lists this ribosomal RNA (497 nucleotides) under uncultured bacterium. Its description in RNAcentral is "partial 16S ribosomal RNA". It matches the Rfam family "Bacterial small subunit ribosomal RNA", at positions 28 to 507 of the family's 1533-position model. The record is from RNAcentral.